Molecule: long non-coding RNA, 852 nt
Organism: Oncorhynchus tshawytscha (Chinook salmon)
Lineage: Eukaryota; Metazoa; Chordata; Actinopteri; Salmoniformes; Salmonidae
Source: Ensembl
GGGUAGUGCACUACGUGGGGAAUAGGGUGCCAUUUGGGACUGAACCCAUGUCAUGUUCAUUAAUCAGUCCCUCCAGCAUUCUGAUGGGAUUUUUGCAGAGCAAACGGCUUGACUUUGCUGCGGCAAUCCUGACAUUUUGCAUGGCUAUGAUUUAGUCCAAUUUGUCGUGAAACUGAGCUGACGGGGGGGAAGAUUUGUUGAUGCGUGGCUUCAUUUAAACACAUUAUGUAGUAAAUGUACUCUGAUUGGUUGAAAUUGCAAGCCCUAUUUUUGUACUGCGGGCGAUGGGCCUGGUUUAUGUGACAACAUUGCGAUGAUUUGACUGUCGCACGUGGAAAGAGUGCAGUGAUUGGUCAAAUGUACAAGUCCCCGCAUAAUACGCAGGGAAUUAUUGAUUUAGCAAUAAAUAAAUACAAAUAAUUGCAGAAACCUGGAGGGACUGAUUAACCCGUUUAACAUGAAAAAGUCCAGAACGUCGACUCGGCCCAAGGUGAGCAUGAACAGCAAAGGGCUCCAUGGUCAAUAUGGUAGGUUCUUUAGCCCGAGGGACAGCCCUUCUAAAAUAGGCAUCUUUUAUUAUGUUGAUUUUAUAGGUGCAACAAUUGUCCCCAAAGUAAGAGACAUAAUAUCCCAUAUUAGUUAUUAGGAAUGUUUGACUAUAUGUGCUAUAGCUGUUAAAUCCCGAUUGCCACUGAUGAGACAUUAGUUUUGGUGUACAAAAUGCUGGGUUUAGGCCUAGACACUGACAUCAGUCACUACUGGGACAUGUUCAGGCAAAACAUCAGGACACUACUUACGGGCUCCCCUGCCAGGCACCGAUUACAACAUUGGCUGCCUUGGACUGCAUAGACC